This 404-nucleotide ribosomal RNA is filed under the name uncultured prokaryote. RNAcentral describes it as "bacterial SSU rRNA". It matches the Rfam family "Bacterial small subunit ribosomal RNA", at positions 355 to 774 of the family's 1533-position model. The record is from RNAcentral.
UGAGGAAUCUUCCACAAUGGGGGCAACCCUGAUGGAGCAACGCCGCGUGCAGGAUGAAGGCCUUCGGGUUGUAAACUGCUUUUAUUAGUGAAGAAUAUGACGGUAACUAAUGAAUAAGGAUCGGCUAACUACGUGCCAGCAGCCGCGGUCAUACGUAGGAUCCGAGCGUUAUCCGGAGUGACUGGGCGUAAAGAGUUGCGUAGGUGGUUUGUAAAGCGAAUAGUGAAAUCUGGCGGCUCAACCGUACAGGCUAUUAUUCGAACUCACAAACUCGAGAAUGGUAGAGGUAACUGGAAUUUCUUGUGUAGGAGUGAAAUCCGUAGAUAUAAGAAGGAACACCAAUGGCGUAGGCAGGUUACUGGACCAUUUCUGACACUAAGGCACGAAAGCGUGGGGAGCGAACC